GACGAACGCUGGCGGCGUGCUUAACACAUGCAAGUCGAACGGAAAGGCCCUGCUUUUGUGGGGUGCUCGAGUGGCGAACGGGUGAGUAACACGUGAGUAACCUGCCCUUGACUUUGGGAUAACUUCAGGAAACUGGGGCUGAUACCGGAUAGGAGCUCCUGCUGCAUGGUGGGGGUUGGAAAGUUUCGGCGGUUGGGGAUGGACUCGCGGCUUAUCAGCUUGUUGGUGGGGUAGUGGCUUACCAAGGCUUUGACGGGUAGCCGGCCUGAGAGGGUGACCGGCCACAUUGGGACUGAGAUACGGCCCAGACUCCUACGGGAGGCAGCAGUGGGGAAUAUUGCACAAUGGGCGGAAGCCUGAUGCAGCAACGCCGCGUGCGGGAUGACGGCCUUCGGGUUGUAAACCGCCUUCGCCUGUGACGAAGCGUGAGUGACGGUAAUGGGUAAAGAAGCACCGGCUAACUACGUG
RNAcentral lists this ribosomal RNA (468 nucleotides) under uncultured bacterium. RNAcentral's name for it is "partial 16S ribosomal RNA". It matches the Rfam family "Bacterial small subunit ribosomal RNA", at positions 28 to 507 of the family's 1533-position model. The record is from RNAcentral.